RNAcentral lists this non-coding RNA (21 nucleotides) under Caenorhabditis elegans. The record is from RNAcentral. Lineage: Eukaryota; Metazoa; Nematoda; Chromadorea; Rhabditida; Rhabditidae.
UUUGAGAUUGUGAUGUAGUAC